RNAcentral lists this ribosomal RNA (1364 nucleotides) under Latilactobacillus sakei. Its description in RNAcentral is "bacterial SSU rRNA". It matches the Rfam family "Bacterial small subunit ribosomal RNA", at positions 57 to 1382 of the family's 1533-position model. Lineage: Bacteria; Bacillati; Bacillota; Bacilli; Lactobacillales; Lactobacillaceae. The record is from RNAcentral.
GCAGUCGAACGCACUCUCGUUUAGAUUGAAGGAGCUUGCUCCUGAUUGAUAAACAUUUGAGUGAGUGGCGGACGGGUGAGUAACACGUGGGUAACCUGCCCUAAAGUGGGGGAUAACAUUUGGAAACAGAUGCUAAUACCGCAUAAAACCUAACACCGCAUGGUGUAGGGUUGAAAGAUGGUUUCGGCUAUCACUUUAGGAUGGACCCGCGGUGCAUUAGUUAGUUGGUGAGGUAAAGGCUCACCAAGACCGUGAUGCAUAGCCGACCUGAGAGGGUAAUCGGCCACACUGGGACUGAGACACGGCCCAGACUCCUACGGGAGGCAGCAGUAGGGAAUCUUCCACAAUGGACGAAAGUCUGAUGGAGCAACGCCGCGUGAGUGAAGAAGGUUUUCGGAUCGUAAAACUCUGUUGUUGGAGAAGAAUGUAUCUGAUAGUAACUGAUCAGGUAGUGACGGUAUCCAACCAGAAAGCCACGGCUAACUACGUGCCAGCAGCCGCGGUAAUACGUAGGUGGCAAGCGUUGUCCGGAUUUAUUGGGCGUAAAGCGAGCGCAGGCGGUUUCUUAAGUCUGAUGUGAAAGCCUUCGGCUCAACCGAAGAAGUGCAUCGGAAACUGGGAAACUUGAGUGCAGAAGAGGACAGUGGAACUCCAUGUGUAGCGGUGAAAUGCGUAGAUAUAUGGAAGAACACCAGUGGCGAAAGCGGCUGUCUGGUCUGUAACUGACGCUGAGGCUCGAAAGCAUGGGUAGCAAACAGGAUUAGAUACCCUGGUAGUCCAUGCCGUAAACGAUGAGUGCUAGGUGUUGGAGGGUUUCCGCCCUUCAGUGCCGCAGCUAACGCAUUAAGCACUCCGCCUGGGGAGUACGACCGCAAGGUUGAAACUCAAAGGAAUUGACGGGGGCCCGCACAAGCGGUGGAGCAUGUGGUUUAAUUCGAAGCAACGCGAAGAACCUUACCAGGUCUUGACAUCCUUUGACCACUCUAGAGAUAGAGCUUUCCCUUCGGGGACAAAGUGACAGGUGGUGCAUGGUUGUCGUCAGCUCGUGUCGUGAGAUGUUGGGUUAAGUCCCGCAACGAGCGCAACCCUUAUUACUAGUUGCCAGCAUUUAGUUGGGCACUCUAGUGAGACUGCCGGUGACAAACCGGAGGAAGGUGGGGACGACGUCAAAUCAUCAUGCCCCUUAUGACCUGGGCUACACACGUGCUACAAUGGAUGGUACAACGAGUUGCGAGACCGCGAGGUUUAGCUAAUCUCUUAAAACCAUUCUCAGUUCGGAUUGUAGGCUGCAACUCGCCUACAUGAAGCCGGAAUCGCUAGUAAUCGCGGAUCAGCAUGCCGCGGUGAAUACGUUCCCGGGCCUU